UUAUAAUAACAGAAAUAUUUAAUAAUUAUUAUGUAUUUAAAUUGGCUUAUACAUAGUUGGUUUUAAAAGAAAACACUGUUGGGUUUUGGUUUGUUUAGGAUUUGUUUUUUGUUAGAUAAAAUGGGCUAGAAUUGCCCAAAGAGAGCAACAAAUCUGUUAUGUCAAAAUCUAUGUUUUUGUGGCCGUUUGGUUAAAAAAAAAACAGAAAAGGGAAAGUAGAAAAAAAAUAUUUCUCGAUCCAAUUUUUCUUUGAGGAAUCGACGACACGCUAGAACUGAAAUAGAGAAUCGAUGAGAGAAUCAGUGGGUAGAUCUAUCGAUCUUGAUGGAUAGGGCGUUGGUGAAGAUUGAAACUGUUGAUUGGUGAAUGUUUCUCAUGAAUCGGGUUCACAGAUAAAGAAGAUGAAAUGGGUAAUUUGCUUACAAUUGAAAAAAGAAUUGAAUGUCAACUUAAUGGGCUUAAAAAACACGAAAAUGUCGGUCAAAAUCACCAAUGAAUGUAGGAUUUGGAAAAGACAUCGUUACAGGAGCAUACAAAGUCGUUCUGAUGUAUUUAUACGACCGCAUUGCUACUAAGACUCUUAUCAAGACCCACGUCUUUAACCUCAGCAACGGCGAACGAAGAUGCAUUUAUUUUCCCUAUGUUGAGAAUCAGUUUAACAUUGAUAAAAUAUCCACAUUUGCAAAUGGAUCUCUUUAUUGGCUGAAUAAUAACCUAACCAUUACGGCAUUGGAUCUUCAUACAGAACUGUUUUACGAGGUACUCACCAAGUUGCUUCACCAAAUACUCCAACAAAGUGUAUUUAUGGAGCCUAAAAGAUCGCUUAUGCCUAUGUGAAGUGGAAGAUUUAUCAGAUGUAGACAUAUGGGGCUUGCAACAAGAAGGUUCGAGUGUCAAGUGGGAGAAGUUUCUUUCAGAUUCUGCAUUUAGUAAGGAGUGUUUUGAGCAUCCUUAUUGGAUGACUGGCGUUUUGACUUGUUACCAGAUUUACGAGGAUGCGAGCACCGCAUUGUGUACGAAGGAUUUGGCUGCUUUGCUCUAGUUUCAUGUUUCAUUGUUUUAAAGUACAUGGUUCUUUGUAUCCCAACAAGAACAUAAUAUAUAGUAUAUGUUAUUUUGAAUUUA
Long non-coding RNA from Brassica napus (rape), 1125 nucleotides. RefSeq lists it as uncharacterized. Lineage: Eukaryota; Viridiplantae; Streptophyta; Magnoliopsida; Brassicales; Brassicaceae. The record is from RefSeq and is a predicted model, not a curated record. The transcript is spliced from 3 exons.